This 477-nucleotide ribosomal RNA is filed under the name uncultured bacterium. RNAcentral describes it as "partial 16S ribosomal RNA". It matches the Rfam family "Bacterial small subunit ribosomal RNA", at positions 28 to 507 of the family's 1533-position model. The record is from RNAcentral.
GAUUAACGCUGGCGGCGUGCAUAACACAUGCAAGUCGAACGAUGAAACUUUAAUGAACCCUUCGGGGAGAAUUAAAGCGGAUUAGUGGCGAACGGGUGAGUAACGCGUGAGUAACCGGCCUUACACAAGGGGAUAGCCUUUGGAAACGAAGAAUAAUACCCUAUAAAACCAUAAAAUCACAUGCAAUUAUGGUCAAAGUGAUAGGGGUGUAAGAUGGACUUGCGUCUGAUUUGCUAGUUGGUGAGAGAAAAGACCACCAAGGCAACGAUCAGUAGCCGGCUUGAGAGAGUGUACGGCGGCAUUGGGACUCAGACAAGACCCAGACGCCAACGGGAGGCAGCAGUGGGGAAUUUAGCACAAUAGGCGAAACCCUGAUGCGGCGAGGCCGCGUGAUUUAGAAGGCCUUCGGGUUGUAAAAAUCUUUUGUAUAGGAAGAAAAUGACGGUACUAUACGAAUAAGGUCCGGCUAAUUACGUG